Molecule: ribosomal RNA, 232 nt
Filed under: uncultured bacterium
Lineage: Bacteria
Description: partial 16S ribosomal RNA
Rfam family: Bacterial small subunit ribosomal RNA
Source: RNAcentral
CGGGGUGAGUAACGCGUGGGUAACCUGCCUCAUACAGGGGGAUAACAGUUGGAAACGACUGCUAAUACCGCAUAAGCGCACAGGAUUGCAUGAUCCAGUGUGAAAAACUCCGGUGGUAUGAGAUGGACCCGCGUCUGAUUAGCCAGUUGGCGGGGUAACGGCCCACCAAAGCGACGAUCAGUAGCCGACCUGAGAGGGUGACCGGCCACAUUGGGACUGAGACACGGCCCAA